Molecule: long non-coding RNA, 781 nt
Organism: Ficedula albicollis (Collared flycatcher)
Lineage: Eukaryota; Metazoa; Chordata; Aves; Passeriformes; Muscicapidae
Exons: 3
Source: RefSeq, a predicted model, not a curated record
GCAAUGCAAUGCAACGCAAUGCAACGCAACGCAAUGCAACGCAAAGCAACGCAGCACAACGCAGUGCCGUGCUGUACCGGGCGGACCUGAGGACCUGCUUCUGCCUUUUGGGAAACUGGAGCAUGUACUGCCCAGGUGAAUAAACUGAGCUGAACCCUGGACAAAAACAGAGACACAGACUUCUCAGGACAUCUGAGCUUGAGGAGCAUGGGUGCACUCAGCACUCAGUGCUUGGGUUCAUAUCAUUGCAAUUAGGACCAGCCAUGUGAAAUCCUGUUACACACAGGACUGGGAAGCAGAGAGUUUCUUAUGUGUUGAAGGGAUGCAAAUGCCUGGUGAGCCCAGAAGACUCUGGCUGCAAAGGCUGGGGAAAAGCAAGAAGGUUUCCAAGCUGUUGAAACGGUUGAAGUGUAAUCCAGCGCAGAAAACCAGUUCCAGGCAGUUCAUACCUGGACUGAUUGUUCAAUUUUUCUUCUCUAACCUGAAAAUUCAGGUGACAAGAUCAACUCAAGGGCAAAGCACUGCCCAGGGACCAGAAGCUGGUGCAGACCUACAUGGAUAGCAAGUUCUGUGACUCCUACGCCUUGCACCACACCCACAGCUAAUGAGAAAUCGAUAGAAGUCAGCAACAUGGGUUAGGCUGGAGCCUGCCUGCUCUCACUGGCACAGCAGACUGUGCUGUUUGGCUGGUUAUUUGAUGAAAUUAGUAGAAAGGACAAACAGUCCUGUGAUAAAAAAACUGGAGAUGUGUCUGGAUGAGCAUUAACAGGCUGGGAUGCAU